Molecule: ribosomal RNA, 440 nt
Filed under: Arthrobacter sp. R-44216
Lineage: Bacteria; Bacillati; Actinomycetota; Actinomycetes; Micrococcales; Micrococcaceae
Description: bacterial SSU rRNA
Rfam family: Bacterial small subunit ribosomal RNA
Source: RNAcentral
GAUGAACGCUGGCGGCGUGCUUAACACAUGCAAGUCGAACGAUGAUCUGGCGCUUGCGUCGGGGAUUAGUGGCGAACGGGUGAGUAACACGUGAGUAACCUGCCCUUAACUCUGGGAUAAGCCUUGGAAACGGGGUCUAAUACUGGAUAUUGACUUUACCUCGCAUGGGGUUUGGUUGAAAGAUUUAUUGGUUUUGGAUGGACUCGCGGCCUAUCAGCUUGUUGGUGAGGUAAUGGCUCACCAAGGCGACGACGGGUAGCCGGCCUGAGAGGGUGACCGGCCACACUGGGACUGAGACACGGCCCAGACUCCUACGGGAGGCAGCAGUGGGGAAUAUUGCACAAUGGGCGAAAGCCUGAUGCAGCGACGCCGCGUGAGGGAUGACGGCCUUCGGGUUGUAAACCUCUUUCAGUAGGGAACAAGGCCAGCAUUUUUGUUGG